GAAGAGCUCAAAUUUGAAAGCUGGCGUCCUACGGGCGUCCGCAUUGUAAUCUAUAGAGGCGUUUUCUGUGCUGGACCGUGUCCAAGUCCCUUGGAACAGGGUAUCAAAGAGGGUGACAAUCCCGUACUUGACACGACAACCAGUGCUCUGUGAUACGUCUUCUACGAGUCGAGUUGUUUGGGAAUGCAGCUCAAAAUGGGUGGUGAAUUCCAUCUAAAGCUAAAUAUUGGCGAGAGACCGAUAGCGAACAAGUACCGUGAGGGAAAGAUGAAAAGCACUUUGGAAAGAGAGUUAAACAGUAUGUGAAAUUGUUGAAAGGGAAACGAUGGAGGUCAGUCGUGUCUGUGGGAUUCAGCCGUCUCUGGCGGUGUACUUCCCACAGACGGGUCAACAUCAGUUUUGGCUGGCGGAUAAAGGCAGGAGGAAGGUGGCACCCCCGGGUGUGUUAUAGCCUCUUGUUGCAUACGCUGGCUGAGACUGAGGAAUGCAGCUCGCCUUUAUGGCCGGGGUCGCCC
This 515-nucleotide ribosomal RNA is filed under the name Saitozyma podzolica. Its description in RNAcentral is "LSU rRNA". It matches the Rfam family "Eukaryotic large subunit ribosomal RNA", at positions 102 to 631 of the family's 3401-position model. The record is from RNAcentral. Lineage: Eukaryota; Fungi; Basidiomycota; Tremellomycetes; Tremellales; Trimorphomycetaceae.